Molecule: transfer RNA, 84 nt
Filed under: Aeromonas veronii
Lineage: Bacteria; Pseudomonadati; Pseudomonadota; Gammaproteobacteria; Aeromonadales; Aeromonadaceae
Also listed under: 1 other name
Description: tRNA_Leu_TAA
Rfam family: tRNA
About the family: Transfer RNA (tRNA) molecules are approximately 80 nucleotides in length. Their secondary structure includes four short double-helical elements and three loops (D, anti-codon, and T loops). Further hydrogen bonds mediate the characteristic L-shaped molecular structure. tRNAs have two regions of fundamental functional importance: the anti-codon, which is responsible for specific mRNA codon recognition, and the 3' end, to which the tRNAs corresponding amino acid is attached (by aminoacyl-tRNA synthetases). tRNAs cope with the degeneracy of the genetic code in two manners: having more than one tRNA (with a specific anti-codon) for a particular amino acid; and 'wobble' base-pairing, i.e. permitting non-standard base-pairing at the 3rd anti-codon position.
Source: RNAcentral
GCCCGAGUGGUGAAAUCGGUAGACACAAGGGAUUUAAAAUCCCUCGCUUUUCGAGGCGUGCCGGUUCGAUUCCGGCCUCGGGCA